Molecule: long non-coding RNA, 1208 nt
Organism: Arachis duranensis
Lineage: Eukaryota; Viridiplantae; Streptophyta; Magnoliopsida; Fabales; Fabaceae
Exons: 5
Source: RefSeq, a predicted model, not a curated record
CUUUACAUUUUAGGUAGGUUAUGAUACCUUGGCCAUAGGAGCUGAGUGGAUUUUUUGCUCCAAGCAAGAAGUGAUCUUUCCGGUGCUUUGUAGUUGCGAUGUUCUUCUUUUGCUGUUAAUAGGUUUUUUCCUUGCAUUGCUCUUGUUUCAUUCUCAAAAUGAAGUUUUUCUGUUGGGGAAAAAAUGUAGCAAAAUUUUAAAAUUCUUUUACAUAAGAAUAAAUUUCAAAAAAAUAGCAUUAUAUGACAACCAGGGCAGAGGAGUGGGCAGUAGCCCUUCCUCUUUGAAUAACUCUACCACCUCCGUACCUGGCAAAUCCUCAACACAAGUGAGCUUUAACUUUUACAAAAUGCAUACUCCUUGUUAGUUGGAUCUGCUUCCAAUCAGUUACUCCCCUUCCUCCUGGAGUCCCGGUCCCUUAUUAACAUCACACCAUUAUUGUUGUCUUUCAGAGGUCCUUGGGGUGCACUUUCAGCUAUCCCUGAGAAUAAUGCUAUUUCUAUUAAUUCUCAGGUUUUUAUAUUUCCUUUUCUUUUUCUCUUUUAGUUUAAAGAAUAUCAUUUUUCAUAACAGUUUGUUUCAUUGAUCGAGUGUGUUCAUGCUUCCUUGUUCAAUUACAGGGGGGAUUUGUUUUCUCUGCUUCUGGUGAUUCUUGUGCAUAUUGUUGGGAUGUGGAAACUGGUAAAGUAAAAAUGGUAUUUAAGGGGCACUUGGACUACUUGCACUGCAUAGUUGCUCGCAAUUCAUCCAAUCAGAUCAUAACUGGUUCAGAGGACAGGACUGCACGAAUUUGGGCACAAUAACCACCACCUAUCACUUUCAUAAUUCUUCCUGAUCCAUCAGAACAUCACAACUCAGAGUAUUCAGCUUGCAGAUAUGUGUUGCUUUUUGCCAUAAUUAACACAGUUAAAUAUUAAAGCACUCCCAAGCUGCUCAUGUCACGAACUUGUGGAGGGACUUCUCCAGUGAGUUGAUUGUGGGAAAGAUCAAGUGCUUCUAAUUUCAAUAGAUUCCCAAGAGAAGAUGAGAUUUCACCUGAGAGAUUGUUGUAACUGAGGUCUAAACUGAUAUAGAGAUUUUUGGCAUUUUCCAAUUUCUGUUUUAAUAUGGAGAAUAACACAGCUUUUAGUAUGGUUUAUAGUUUUAGUAUGGUUGAAAAAUAUAUUGAGGAUUAUAGUUGAUGUAUCAAUACAUUUUCUUUAUGCUUU